AAAUUUUAAAUAAUAUUAUUAUAUACAAUUAUUAUUUUUUACUAUUAAUUAAGGAAUAAUAUAUUCUUUUAAGCGAGACGCGGUAAUUUAUUAAAAUAAACGUACGCGCGGCAUUUUACAAAUUACAAAUUACGGAAAACGUUAAAUAUUUUACAACGUUUAGAAUUUAUUUUAAAUUAUUUCAAUAAUUAGUAUUUUUAUUUAAAUUUGCCCGGGCGCCCGCAAUUCUUUACUAUUAUACCAACGAUAUAUUAGAUAAUAUAUUGGGGGAUUAUAUAUUAAUUUAUUUAGAUAAUAUUCUAUUUAUUCUUUCGGUUUUAAAUCCGAUUAUUAAUUAAACAUAACCCGGAUAUUAAAUAAAUUGGUUAUAACAGCAUUUAAUUUAAAUUUCGAUAGAAACGCGUUGCGGUAAAAUAAAUGAAAUAUUUGGUGUUUUGUUAAUAUUUAUAAAUGUUAACAGGGGAUAUAAGGGUAAACCCUAGGUGCGGCGUAAUAAAUAACCAAUGUUAAAAAAGCGCUAAAUGCAUUAAAAUAAAACGUAGUACGCAAAUGGACAUUAAUAUAUUGGUGGGAGGAUUUUGCUUUGUCCUUUUAUAUAUUUUCCGAUAUUAAAAUGGGGGUCGGCACGCUAAAAAGGUUUCCGGUACCGCAAAUAAAUUUCCGAAAAAUUAGUUUGUAUAAGUUUGUUAAAAAACACUUUUAUUUGCUAACGAACCAUUUUUAAAUUUGUACGCAAUUGUUAAUUUGGUAAGUUUUUUAACCCGGUACAGGCUAGUUAAUUUGUAAGUGCAGGGUGGGUAUUAAACCCGGUACAGGGGAUUAACCCCAUUUGUUAACUUUUAAAUCGCAUUCCUGCAUUUAACAAAUUAACGGAAUUCCAACCACCCCACUUUGGUAUUAUAUAUAAUAAAUUAUAUAGAAAUAAAAGUGGGUUUAUUAUAUGCGAAAUAAUAUAUAUAAUAAACAGGUCUAUUAUUAAAACGGGGAAAAAAAUCCAAAUUAACCCCGAAAAAAUAAAAAUAAUCCGAAAUUAGGAAAUUCCGACGAAAUUCCGAAAGUUCCGCGGUUUUUUGGGGUUUGCGAAUUUUUGUUAUAAUUUUAUAAACGGUUAUUUCAUGUUAACGGCCUUAAUAUUAGUACUUACGACAAAGAAACCGUUUUAAUAAAUAAAGAAAUUCAAAAAAACGUUCGAAACGCUAAAAUGCGCAUUUUUCCAAAUAUUAAUAUUUAUUUAAUAAAAGGACACAAAAAAUCUAAAAUUAGUAAUAAAUUAUUCCGGUACGGCGUAGGGGGGUUGUUUUUCGCAAAAAAAAAAACAGACGGAUUAUAACUUCCGGUCGCGUUUUAUUCGACCAAAUUAAUUAACGUUAAAGAAAAUUAUACUAUUUAUAAUAAAAAACUAUUUGCGGUAAUAAUAUAUUUGAAAAUAUGGAACGCGGAAUUCCUCAACGUUCGCCGGCCUUUUUCAAUUUUAAUAAAUUAAAAACCGUUAAAAUAUCUUUUCAAAUUUAAUUAUAAUUUACGUUUCCGUCCUGGCCGAUUAACGGGAAUUUUCGACGCGUUAUUUAAAAAAAGUAAAUGUAUAUUAUUAUUAAUAACCUUAUUACGCCCGGUUAUAUUAUAAAUAAAUCUAACGCCGGUAAAUAUUAUAACCCCCGUAAUCGCCACGGCUUUCCCGCCAAAAUUGCAGGCUUUUGCCCAGACGUAUUUGGCCCGGUUAUAAAACAAAAUAUUAUUCAAAAACAACCUAUACCAAAUAUAUUUAAACGCAAUAUACAAAAAUAAAUAACGUUUUCCGCCAAAAAACGAAACAAAAAAGUAAACGCGUUCGGGGCCUUAUAAUAUAAAAGAUAAUUAUAAUUACCAAAUUAAAACUUAUUAAUUAUAACGGUAUUAUAACGGAUUUGUAAAUUACCGGUAAUUAAUUAUUUCGGUAAAGAUAAUACGUUUAUUAUAUUCGCCAAAAAUUAUUAAUAAAGCGGUAUAAUAAAAUAAAAUAUAUAAACCGUUUUAUUUAUAAUUAUAAUAUAUAUCGGCGAACGAAAUUUUCGCGGCGGACGCGCCAAAACUCUUUCCAACCGUUAUUUUUACCGGAUAAAUUUUGGAAAUAAAUUCCCAUCGAUUUUAUAACCGAUUAUCCCGGAAACGGAAAAAUAAUUUUUCGUUAUUUAAUAAUUAGUAUAAAUUAAUUUUCCAAAUAUAUAUAAUUGCAAAUAAUAUAUUUAAUAAAAAUGGAGAAUUGCGCGGUGCAAUUUCUGUUAUUUUAAUAAUAACUCCGGGAUUCUUCCAAUUAUAUUAUUUCCAAUAAACAUUUGAAUUGGGUGGGAGAUUUAUAAACGGAAUUAUAUAAAUAAACGGGGGUAAAAUAAUUAUUCUUUGUUUUUUAUUGUCCAAAAACCGACGGGGGUACGGAAUAAACCAACUAAAACAAUUUAAUGAUAUUUUUGGAUUUAUAUAAUUUUGAACUAAAAAAAUUCGUUUGAUUAUUUGGGGGCCGUAUAAUAGGUUUUUAAUAACCGGAGUUUAUUUAUUACGGAAAUAAAGUCAAAUAAAUUAUUAUGGGAAUUUAAUAUUAAAACGGUACCAAAUAUCCUUUUUUCUAAAACCCCGGUUUUAAACCCGAAAACUAAAGCCACGCAAUUUUUAAAAUAUUUACGGAAAAAUUCCAAAUUAAUUUAAAUUAUUAUUAUAUAUAAUUAGUAACGUUAAAAACCGGGGCGAACAAAUUAUAAUAUUCAACCAAAUAAUUCCGGGUUGGAUAUAAAAUAUUCUUUAAUUUACAAUAUAUAUAUACGAACAGCCCGUAUAAAAAAUUCGAUUAUAUUUACGGAAAAUACCAGGUAAUAAUAAUAUAAAUUCUAUUUACAAUUACGCUAAAUAUUCCUAGAAAAACGUCUUUAUUUUUUAUAUAAAAUUAAUAAAACGGGCUGUUAAUAAUAUAUUAUGUUUGUAUUUUUGGACGGAUUCCCGGCCCGGCCCCGAAUUUUAACCGAUAAAAAAAUCGACAAACCCGAAAAAGUUUGGGUUGUAAAAACAGUUAUAACCGCGAAACAUUAUAAAGACAAACGGCCGCCAAAUAUCAAUAAAAUAAUCAAAUUAAAAUAAUUUUACGUAAAAACCGUUGGAAUUUAUAAUAAGUACUAAUAUUUUGGACGCGUUCGACGUUCUUUGGGGAAACGUCCGUAUUAACAACGGACCGAUUUCCAAACGUCGUUAACCCGCCGCGAUUAUUAUAACAAAACGUUUUAUAAUUACAAAUCCAAAAAAGAUUAGUACCGCGGAUCCGCAACGGCGCAAUGCAAAAUUGUUACGCGUUUUAUAUUUAUAAACUUUAAUAACGAAAUUAAUCGGCAAAAUAUUUACUCGUAACCAAAUAUAACAGAAAUAUCAAAAUCCCGGGACCGGUUAACAUUUCUAAAAAGAAAAUUUUAUUUAAAACUAU
This 3442-nucleotide small RNA is filed under the name Pyricularia oryzae. RNAcentral's name for it is "Magnaporthe oryzae sRNA M_BR32_EuGene_00111751". Lineage: Eukaryota; Fungi; Ascomycota; Sordariomycetes; Magnaporthales; Pyriculariaceae. The record is from RNAcentral.